RNAcentral lists this transfer RNA (363 nucleotides) under uncultured Microcystis sp. RNAcentral's name for it is "partial miscellaneous RNA". The stretch from base 135 to 208 matches the Rfam family "tRNA". Lineage: Bacteria; Bacillati; Cyanobacteriota; Cyanophyceae; Chroococcales; Microcystaceae. The record is from RNAcentral.
AAGGGAGACCUAAUUCAGGUAGGAGACGAAAAAAAAGUAGUCCCUACCAAGAAUCAAUCCCAAAAGGUCGGAGCGAGGCAGAAUUGGCUUUCAAACUAGGUUCUGGGUUCACACAAGACCUGAAUCAGGAACAAGGGCUAUUAGCUCAGGUGGUUAGAGCGCACCCCUGAUAAGGGUGAGGUCCCUGGUUCGAGUCCAGGAUGGCCCACCUGUACAGGUGGCAAAAACAAAGAAAAGAAGCGAGGAAUCAGCACCUUAUCUUACUUAUAUAGUAAGAGAGAAUGCUGGCUCUGAGUUCAGAGUCCAGAGGAACCUUGAAAACUGCAUAGAGCUAGGUGAAAAAGCCAAAAAAGAAGACCACAA